RNAcentral lists this transfer RNA (74 nucleotides) under Planctomycetota bacterium. Its description in RNAcentral is "Planctomycetes bacterium (subsurface metagenome) tRNA-Lys". It matches the Rfam family "tRNA". Rfam says of the family: Transfer RNA (tRNA) molecules are approximately 80 nucleotides in length. Their secondary structure includes four short double-helical elements and three loops (D, anti-codon, and T loops). Further hydrogen bonds mediate the characteristic L-shaped molecular structure. tRNAs have two regions of fundamental functional importance: the anti-codon, which is responsible for specific mRNA codon recognition, and the 3' end, to which the tRNAs corresponding amino acid is attached (by aminoacyl-tRNA synthetases). tRNAs cope with the degeneracy of the genetic code in two manners: having more than one tRNA (with a specific anti-codon) for a particular amino acid; and 'wobble' base-pairing, i.e. permitting non-standard base-pairing at the 3rd anti-codon position. Lineage: Bacteria; Pseudomonadati; Planctomycetota. The record is from RNAcentral.
CGAUCUGUAGCUCAAUAAGUUAGAGCACCCGGUUCUUACCCGGGGGGUUGCGGGUGCAAGUCCCUCCAGAUCGA